RNAcentral lists this ribosomal RNA (626 nucleotides) under uncultured Bacilli bacterium. Its description in RNAcentral is "bacterial SSU rRNA". It matches the Rfam family "Bacterial small subunit ribosomal RNA", at positions 94 to 713 of the family's 1533-position model. Lineage: Bacteria; Bacillati; Bacillota; Bacilli. The record is from RNAcentral.
AGUGGCGAACGGGUGAGUAACACGUGACCAACCUGCCUCUCACAUUGGGAUAACUUAGAGAAAUCUAAGCUAAUACCAAAUACUCUUGAUCUGCCGCAUGACAGACCAAGGAAAGCUUUCGCGGUGAGAGAUGGGGUCGCGGCCCAUUAGGUAGUAGGUAGGGUAAUGGCCUACCUAGGCGACGAUACAUAGCCGACCUGAGAGGGUGAUCGGCCACACUGGGACUGAGACACGGCCCAGACUCCUACGGGAGGCAGCAGUAGGGAAUCUUCGGCAAUGGGGGGAACCCUGACCGAGCAACGCCGCGUGAGUGAAGAAGGUUUUCGGAUCGUAAAGCUCUGUUGUUAAGGAAGAACGAGUGUGAGAAUGGAAAGUUCAUACUGUGACGGUACUUAACCAGAAAGGGACGGCUAACUACGUGCCAGCAGCCGCGGUAAUACGUAGGUCCCGAGCGUUGUCCGGAUUUAUUGGGCGUAAAGCGAGCGCAGGCGGUUAGAAAAGUCUGAAGUGAAAGGCAGUGGCUCAACCAUUGUAGGCUUUGGAAACUGUUUAACUUGAGUGCAGAAGGGGAGAGUGGAAUUCCAUGUGUAGCGGUGAAAUGCGUAGAUAUAUGGAGGAACACCGGU